UACGUAGGGGGCAAGCGUUGUCCGGAAUCAUUGGGCGUAAAGCGCGCGUAGGCGGCCCGGUAAGUCCGUUGUAAAAGUCGAAGGCUCAACCUUCGAAAGCCGAUGGAUACUGCCGGGCUAGAGUCCGGAAGAGGCGAGUGGAAUUCCUGGUGCAGCGGUGGAAUGCGCAGAUAUCAGGAGGAACACCCAUAGCGAAGGCAGCUCGCUGGGACGGUACUGACGCUGAGGCGCGAAAGCGUGGGGAGCGAACAGG
This 253-nucleotide ribosomal RNA is filed under the name uncultured bacterium. Its description in RNAcentral is "partial 16S ribosomal RNA". It matches the Rfam family "Bacterial small subunit ribosomal RNA", at positions 524 to 776 of the family's 1533-position model. The record is from RNAcentral.